RNAcentral lists this ribosomal RNA (466 nucleotides) under uncultured bacterium. Its description in RNAcentral is "partial 16S ribosomal RNA". It matches the Rfam family "Bacterial small subunit ribosomal RNA", at positions 339 to 795 of the family's 1533-position model. The record is from RNAcentral.
CUACGGGUCGCAGCAGUGGGGAAUAUUGGACAAUGGGGGAAACCCUGAUCCAGCAACGCCGCGUGUGUGAAGAAGGCCUGCGGGUUGUAAAGCACUUUCGGUUGGGAGGACUGCUUCUAGCACUAAUAUUGUUGGAAGUUGACGUUACCUUCAGAAGAAGCACCGGCUAACUCCGUGCCAGCAGGCCGCGGUAAUACGGAGGGUGCAAGCGUUAAUCGGAAUUACUGGGCGUAAAGCGCGCGUAGGCGGCUAGAUCAGUCGGGUGUGAAAGCCCCGGGCUUAACCUGGGAACUGCAUCCGAUACUGUCUAGCUUGAGUACAGGAGAGGAGAGUGGAAUUCCACAUGUAGCGGUGAAAUGCGUAGAUAUGUGGAGGAACACCAAUGGCGAAGGCAGCUCUCUGGCCUGAUACUGACGCUGAGGUGCGAAAGCGUGGGGAGCAAACAGGAUUAGAUACCCCAGUAGUC